AGUGCCUACGGGAGGCAGCAGUAGGGAAUCUUCCGCAAUGGACGAAAGUCUGACGGAGCAACGCCGCGUGAGCGAAGAAGGCCUUCGGGUCGUAAAGCUCUGUUGUUAGGGAAGAACAAGUAACGCAGUAACUGGCGUUACCGUGACGGUACCUAACGAGAAAGCCACGGCUAACUACGUGCCAGCAGCCGCGGUAAUACGUAGGUGGCAAGCGUUGUCCGGAAUUAUUGGGCGUAAAGCGCGCGCAGGCGGUUCCUUAAGUCUGAUGUGAAAGCCCACGGCUCAACCGUGGAGGGGCAUUGGGA
RNAcentral lists this ribosomal RNA (305 nucleotides) under uncultured bacterium. RNAcentral's name for it is "bacterial SSU rRNA". It matches the Rfam family "Bacterial small subunit ribosomal RNA", at positions 334 to 631 of the family's 1533-position model. The record is from RNAcentral.